CUUUAAGUCCCAGUGUGCCUUGGUGCCUCUGUCGGUUAGUGACUGGCUUCAUUUCAGCUUAUGGUCUCAUAGUUCAGGAGUUCAAGCCCCACAUCGGGCUCUGUGCUGACAGCUGAAGCCUGCUUCAGAUUCUGUGUCUCCCUCUCUCUCUGCCCUUCCCCCACUUGUGCUUGCUCUCUCUCAGAAAUAAUAAACAUUAAAAAAAAAAAAAAAAGUUAAAAAACUUGAAGUCCUGUAAUGUAAUUGAGAAAAAAAAAGUUCCAAAGUAGACGUUGACAGAUUGUUUUCUUUGUUGUACCCCUAGUCCCCAAAGUGUCAUUUUGCCCCUGCUAUUGAAUUUUAGUUUUUACACAGAGUUUCAGUUUGGGCCCAUCAGAGCUGAAUGCUCAGUUUCCUGAUUCCAUUCUUAAACUGCCCAAUUUAUGAAAAUGCUCUUAGGAUUUCUUAGGGGCGCCUGGGUGGCUCAGUUGGUUAAGUGUAGGACUCUUGAUUUCGGCUCAGGUCAUGAUCUCACAGUCAUGUUGGUCUCUGCACGGGGUGUGGAGCCUGCUUGAGAUUCUCUCUCUCCUGCUCGGGCUCUCACUCUCUCUCAAAAGAAAUAAAUAAACAUUUUUUUUUUAAGGAUUUAAAAAAAUCUGAUAGUUGGAUCAUGUACCUUUUAUUGUCACCUAAUGAUAUCCAGGGAGGAGGGAAAACUCAUUCCUGAAACUUUAGUCAUUUGAUAUUCAUUUUAAAUUAACUGAAAUAAAUGAAUAAGUUAUUUUAAAUUUUAGUUUAAAAUUUAGUUAAAAUUCAAACCAAUGAACUUAUCUUCAACUUUCCCUUCUCCCUUCCUACCCCCAUUCUGAAAUCGUUAAAGGUAUAGUAUCUUCAUUGUUUUAGAGACUGUGUCUGUAAAAAUCACAUAUGCCAUGGUUCCUUUUUAUAUAUCUCAGGACUGUUGCCCUUGGAAAAUAGGAAAGAGAAACCUUUCUAAGACCUCAUUAUAGUUUCUCCUCCCAGAACUCUGUGUAGAUCUUAAGGCUGUCUGGUAGCAAAAGCUAUCUAGGAUUCCAGAAAAGAGGCGGAAACCUAUCCCAAGAUAAGCUUAUUGGCAAGACCCUUUGAAAUGAUGAUGGAUUUCCAGCUGUCAUUUUCCAGCUAAAUACCAGUCUCUCAGUUCAAUACUCUGUCUGUGCAGUAGUGUCUAAACUGUUUGCCAGAGGGUAUUCUCCUUGGGGAAUACCUGCAAACUUUUCACCAAAUCAGAGGAAGAGAGAAGCAUUGUUCUGAGGUGCUUUGUAUGUUAAAUACAGAGUGUGUUCAUGGUAAAGAACUUGAUUUGUGUUCUUACAAGUUUGACUUACCAGCCACAAUCUUAGAUAAGCAGUAUUCUUUUCUGUUGCACGUUGAAGGUGAUUUCUGAUGGUUAUUAGGUAAUGAAGUCUGGAUGCCUUAUGGUUGGUUAUAAUGUAUAACUGAUCCUUAAGAAAUUCCUGGUUUAUAGUAAAUGAGCUGUAUUUCUUUAAUUGCCCAACUUGUUCCUCUAAAGUUUAUGGUAGAAGGAGAGGUGGUAAUUAACAUUGUGCAGAAGGGGAUUCAGAGCCAGUGAAAUUCUGGCUUGAAAUUUAAACAGAAUCUGCUAGAACUGAAGUCAGUUACUCCGAUCAUUUGCUCUGAGCACGGGCAUCUAACUGACCUUGAAUUUGAAUCGUGCUCCUACCACUAGCACACUAUGUGUUUUGGGGAAAGGUUGUUAAUUUCUCUAGGCCUCAAUUUCCUCACCUGUAAAUUCUGGAUAACACCUGAUUCACAGGGUUAUGAGUAUAAAUAACUUCAUGCGUCUAAAGCACCUGCCUAACCCAUAGCAACUACUUACUAAAUGGUAAUUAUCACCAUUAAUAUCACAGUGCAGUCAGGGACGCCUGGGGGCUCAGUCAGUUAAGCGUCCAACUCUUGAUUUUGGCUCAGGUCAUGGGCUCACAAUUCUGUGAGUUUUAGCCCCACUUCAGGCUCUGUCCUGACAGCUGGGAGUCUGUUUGGGAUUCUGUUUCCCUCUUUCUGUUCCCUCCCCUGCUUGUUCUCUCUCUCUCUCUCUCUCUCUCUCUCUCUCUCUCUCUGUGUGUGUGUGUGUGUCUGUCUCUCAAAAAUAAGUAAAUAAACAUUAUAUAUAUAUAUAUAUCACAGUACAUUCAGGUGGGCGGAUUCACAAGUCCCAUACUAAAAUCAUUUAAAAAUUAUUCAAGGCAUUACUUAUACAAAAAAAAUAAUUUAUACAAAGACAUGUAAUAAUUAUUUUACCGUAGUAGAUUUGUACAGUUGCUUAAGCACCUAACUUAGUAAUUUAGAUCCUAGGAAGAACAAGCCCCCUAUAUCCUUAAAAGUCUUGGGGCCCCUGGGUGGCUCAGUCGGUUAAGCGUCCAACUCGUGAUUUCAGUUCAGAUCGUCUCAGCGUUCGUGAGAUUGAGCCCCAUGUCGGUCUCUGCGCUGACAGUGAAGAGUCUGCUUGGGAUUUUCUCUCUUCCUCCCUCUCUCUCUGCCCUUCCCCUGCUCACUCACUCUCAAAAUAAAUAAACUUUUUUUUUUGUUUUUUUUUUUUUUUAAAGAGGAAAAAAUGUCUUUCCCUUACAGGUAGAGGCACUUCACCAAUUUGAAGUGUCUUGCAUCCAGGUGGUUUUAGCUUAAGGAUUGAGAGAAUUGAAAGGAUUCUGAGAGUAUUGGACAACUAGUGAACAAACAUUGGAAAAGUAUCAUUGUCUUUCAGCUGCUUAGCUCCAGCCAGUGUUUGAGCCUCAUGUAUGGAUGAGGAAAAUGAUACUCAAAGAAGGUGAUGAUACCUUCUCCAAACCACCAAGGAGCGCCAGAAUUUCACCCCAGAGCCCGCAACCUUCUCCCCCUCCCGCAACCGCCCCCAGUGUCAAGUCUCAAUUGGCAAUUUCUCCCUGCUUCACUGAGAGGUAAAAUGCAUCUCUGUUAAUCAAGCCAUUCCCAGCUCCGCAAGUGCCCCUGCACGUUAGUUAAAAACCAGGUGACAUCUCAGAGCAGACGUGGCUGAAAGCACUGACCGUUCAAAGUAUUGUUGUGGUGCACGUCGAGAAGGUGAAAAUACUCCACCAAGACCUUCACGUUCCUCACGGAUAACAGGCAGUAUAGCUUGUCCAGAUAGAGAUACCACAGAAACGAGCCCUGCUUCAGUUUCAUCGUGGCGCUCCGGAGGCCGAAGGCGCGGGCGACCUGGAACAGAGGAGGGUUCUGGAACUAGAAUGCUGGCUCGAGAGAGGCUCUGGGAGUAGGCAGAGACAUCACAGGAAGCAGUCAGUAAAAAAAUUAAAAUUGCUUCCUCCCAGUCUUCUGGCCUGGCUGGUAGUAUCUGUGGUCUUAAAUCUCUCGUAGCUACCUUGGUUUUCCUCUGCUGCCACAUCACCAGUUGUACCUGUAAAUCACAGACUGUUUAGAAAUGAUUGCGAGAACACUCUCUGCUUACACUCUGUCUCUCUC
Long non-coding RNA from Neofelis nebulosa (Clouded leopard), 3477 nucleotides. RefSeq lists it as uncharacterized. The record is from RefSeq and is a predicted model, not a curated record. The transcript has 2 exons. NCBI's taxonomy places the organism in Eukaryota, Metazoa, Chordata, Mammalia, Carnivora, Felidae.